RNAcentral lists this small RNA (128 nucleotides) under Marmota monax (woodchuck). The record is from RNAcentral. Lineage: Eukaryota; Metazoa; Chordata; Mammalia; Rodentia; Sciuridae.
GCCGGGAGUGGUGGCGCAUGCCUGUUAAUCCUACUUGCUAGGGAGGCUGGGGCAGGAGGAUCGUGAGUUCAAAGCCAGCCUCAGCAACUUAGAGAGGCCCUAAGCAACUCAGUGAGACCCUGUCUCUA